UACGAAGGACCCGAGCGUUAUCCGGAUUUAUUGGGUUUAAAGGGUGCGUAGGCGGAUUAGUAAGUCAGUGGUGAAAGCCCAUCGCUUAACGGUGGAAUUGCCAUUGAUACUGCUAGUCUUGAGUAUGGUUGAGGUGGGCGGAAUGUGUCAUGUAGCGGUGAAAUGCUUAGAUAUGACAUAGAACACCAAUUGCGAAGGCAGCUGGCUACACAAAUAUUGACACUGAGGCACGAAAGCGUGGGGAUCAAACAGG
RNAcentral lists this ribosomal RNA (253 nucleotides) under uncultured bacterium. RNAcentral describes it as "partial 16S ribosomal RNA". It matches the Rfam family "Bacterial small subunit ribosomal RNA", at positions 524 to 776 of the family's 1533-position model. The record is from RNAcentral.